UGCCUUCCAAAUCCGUCAUCGACGAUGUGUCGCCCAUCUCUCCUAUCACCGGAGUCCUCAUCGUCAACAGACAUUGCCGGGAUCUCCAUAGACGGUGUACGAGAGACGCGGAUCUCGGGGAGGAAGGCGGCAGCGGUGGCCUUCAUUGACGCCAGGAUCUCACGCUGAUUCAGAUCUCCAUCAGACCAUUUCUGUAAGGUAAUACGCUGAGUCAAAGUCGUUUUUGCGGACGUCGUCGUUGAUUUUAAUCCCUAGACGAGUCCGCGCCGCAGUGUAUCUCCUAGUCGUCAAGGCCAUCAUCUUCGGCUACAAGGGGGAGUCCCGAAGUGGCAACUCGCGCCCUCGCACGCGCAGCUUCUCCGCUGCCCACCAAGCUGGCUCCUGGUCGACUACUAGCUAGGAACUAGGAAGCCCCGGGACAGCUGUGUGCGGGACGUCUCAGCGGUGGACGACGGGCGCCUGGGCGCGGCACAUGAUCUGCUCAAUCGGCCUGGACUGGUAUUCUGUAUCCAAGAAUGUGGCUGAACCUGCAUCAUUCUAAUAUGUAGAGAAGAAUUUCUGAAGCGCAGAAUGACAGGAACGUGGAUACAAACUAUAGAGAGAUCACAAACCACCGCCCCAUUCAUCACCCGAACAUUAUCAAGUUCAUUCAUAGAGGAGAUAUUAUAUUGACAUGAAGGAUUGAUGGUUUGAUGGAAAUUUUCAAGAGGUAGAAAGGGUCACUGUUAUAGACCAAUUAUCAAAUGAACUACGUGGGCUUGACGAUUUUGUGGUAGAUGAAGAGAAUAUUCGUUAGUGGGUGAUACUGAUGUAUAUGUACUUUAUCGGCUACGCAAGAAAGAUUUAUACUAAGAUUGAAAACAUAUUUUUGUAAAUUUUCGUUGUGAUAUUGGUUUAAUGCACUUCGUUUCUUUUACUUCA
Long non-coding RNA from Lolium rigidum, 921 nucleotides. RefSeq lists it as uncharacterized. The record is from RefSeq and is a predicted model, not a curated record. The transcript has 3 exons. Lineage: Eukaryota; Viridiplantae; Streptophyta; Magnoliopsida; Poales; Poaceae.